GAUGAACGCUGGCGGCAUGCCUAAGACAUGCAAGUCGAACGAAGUGGCCCAAGGAAGUGGAGUGCUUGCACAAAGCGGAAUUGGAUUCCCACUUAGUGGCAGACGGGUGAGUAACACGUGGGUAACCUACCGAAGAGACUGGGAUAACAGUUAGAAAUGACUGCUAAUACCGGAUAAUUCAUCUUUACACAAGUAGAGGUGCUAAAAGGAGCGUAUGCUUCACUUUUCGAUGGGCUUGCGUUGUAUUAGCUAGUUGGUGAGGUAAUGGCCCACCAAGGCGACGAUGCAUAUCCGGGCUGAGAGGCUGAACGGACACACUGGGACUGAGACACGGCCCAG
RNAcentral lists this ribosomal RNA (339 nucleotides) under uncultured bacterium. RNAcentral describes it as "bacterial SSU rRNA". It matches the Rfam family "Bacterial small subunit ribosomal RNA", at positions 28 to 334 of the family's 1533-position model. The record is from RNAcentral.